Molecule: long non-coding RNA, 2521 nt
Filed under: Gallus gallus (chicken)
Lineage: Eukaryota; Metazoa; Chordata; Aves; Galliformes; Phasianidae
Description: lncRNA (ENSGALG00010027841.1)
Source: RNAcentral
GUUCCUCUGUCCUCAUGUCUCAUGGAUUGUCUUGGGAUUUGUUCCUUUACAGACCCCGUGCUUUCUCUGAGGAGAGUGAGUCAGGUUUUGGCCAGAACAGUUUGACAAGUAUCCUUCCCUGCUACUACCUGAUGGAAACAAAGUCAAAAGGUGGAGUUCAAGAUCUUAUCUGUGCUGCUGUCCAGCAUCUUUUGGCCCUAUAGGUGGCCUUGAAAGAGUACAUAAAUAAGACUGAGUUGGUGCGAAGAGCUGCCGUUUUUGUUCUUACCAAUCUUGUGCAUCAGAGGAAACCUGGAAGAACUGUGGAGAUGGAGAGAUUUCUGAGCACAUUCCCUAUACGUUAAAGAACAUAUUUUAGGCUUUUCUUUGGCAUACCCUGGACCCAGAGCAAGGAGGGAGUAGGAAACACCAUCCCAGAGCUGUGUCUGCACUAGGGGGCUGUGCUUGCAUGGCGAUAAGAGGAUUAGAAGUUUAGAGAAAGCUUUGUCCUCGUGUGGUAAGCCCUGAUAACAAACUUUGACUCAGUUAGCUGCUGCUUACAGCACAUUCCUCAUUGGAACAUAUCUGCAAUUGACCUUGACAUGGAAAACAUAAACCCGGUGGAAACAAACUGGUGAUGAUCUCCGUCUAACUGGAGAGCAGACUUCUGAUGUGAGCGCUGCAGCACCAUCCUUUCGGUAGCCCUGAGUCUCUGUAGGUGGAUGAACUGUUUCAGGACAUUCCUUCAUUCUGAGAAGUGGCUGUGGCCAACCAGCUGGAGGCUGCUGAGCUGCCCUGCGGUGCAAGAGGUGUGCUGGCAGGCAGCCCUGUGUUAAUUUUGAUGGCAAAGCUGUCUGAUCUUUUCCAGCUCUGACUUUUGGGUUUCUGCAAAGUAAAAAACUGCCUUAUGCAAAGGUGAUUCCACGCCAGGAGAAGGGUUCUGUGCUCCUUAGAGGGAAUGAAGGGAGGUAACUGAUCAUUCUCUGUAGCUGAUCCCAUUCUGACAGUUCUCAUUACAUCAAAUUUGAGUGCUCACUCUACCAUAUGGGAAAAGAGGCGGGGGAGUCUGUCUAGGACCACUGCUGGGGUGGGUCUCCAGUGGUGCUUGUGUCUUGACCUCAGGCAAUGCUUCCAUUCUUCCUUUGUUAAAAGAGUGAUUUGUCAGAUGCCAGGGACUCCUCAAUAAGUCUCCUGGGCUGGAGGAGAAUGGUCAGCAGUAUCUCAUAGGUUUCAUCACAGAUCAAUUUUUAACGUUCAGAUUGGUUGUCCCUAGGACUUAAGUUGAGUUUGUCACAUCAGUAUCACAGCAGAAGCAAAAGAGCUGCUAUCUUGGCAGGUGCUGGAACACCUUCCGGGCUCCUGGAGCUGGGGACAGCACUCAGCUCUUCAUAGAGAAGUGUGAUGCAGAAAAUUAGUUGUUAAAGCAAAUACAGGGAGAAAGGAGCAAGACAAGUGAAAGCCGAGAAAGCUGGAGUGAUUCAUCACUCCUGACUGGCACGAGAGCUCCAGGACCAUCAGCUCAUCAGGAAAUCUCCUGUCUGCCCGGAGCACACAGUGAAUUCCCACCUUUGCACUCAAGGCACAGCAUUAAGUGCUUCCAAAAUUCCCGUGACGGCUCCAUCCUGCAACGUUCUGAACCUCCUCACUGUGCUUCAGCAAUGCGAUCAGGUCCAGAUACGAGCUCAGGACUGGACCUACUGCAACAAGCAGUGUGAACAAUGCUGGGCUCUUACUGCCAUGCUCAGGAAACAGGAGUGUCAUUUCUCCUUGUCUGCUGUGAGCGAGUCCUCAUCGGUUCAAGUGACAACACGUGCAGGUGCCUCUCUGCUUUUUCCACACCGGGUGAGUCCUUUCAGCAAGCAGGGAGGGAACAGCUGCUGGGUGAAAACAAGGCCAUCCUGCUGACCCAAGCUGAAAUGCGACAGGGAAAUGGGAUUUCUGACCUUGAGAGGUACAAAGUUGCCCAAAGGAGGGACCCGGCGAAGAUUAAAAAUAACUCCAACUCCGUAACGCUUCUGCAGCUGGGCCAAAGCAUUGCAAAACACACAGCCAGCUAUGAAAUAGGACCAAUUGACAACAGCCUUUUGGUGACCGAUGGGCUGAGGAGCUCGCCCUCCCCUUUGCGAGCAUGGACUGAAGAACAGCUGCUUUUGUCAGCCGUGCUCUUGCUUGUCCUCUCCCCUGUCCCUGCAGAUGUUUGAGGAUGGCUGCUGUGACGGUGCUCGUCGUGUGGGUCGGUGUUCCUUUCUCCUCAGCUCCCACUUCUGUUUGGCUGUUGUGAGAGCAAUUAGACAUUACUCAGAGAGGGCCAGACAGUGUGUGGGUCCAUGGUCGCUCGGUCUGUCUGUCUGUCUCCCCCCUCUCGCACACAUGCCAUGUGAUUUGAAGCAGUCAUGUACCAUGAAUAAUGUCCAGGGGCCAGGUCACAAGCUUCCCAUAGCAUGGAAUUCAUUUGCAUACAAUCCGAGCAAUUACAAGUAAUGAAUAGAUUAGGAAAACCAAACAAAACGAGAAACGAUUCAGGCUGCUGCUAAUUCCUCAG